UUGACCUCGGAUCAGGUAGGAAUACCCGCUGAACUUAAGCAUAUCAAUAAGCGGAGGAAAAGAAACCAACAGGGAUUGCCCCAGUAACGGCGAGUGAAGCGGCAACAGCUCAAAUUUGAAAUCUGGCCCCUCCGGGUCCGAGUUGUAAUUUGUAGAGGAUGCUUUUGGUGAGGUGCCGCCCGAGUUCCCUGGAACGGGACGCCGCAGAGGGUGAGAGCCCCGUCUGGCUGGCCACCGAGCCUCUGUAAAGCUCCUUCGACGAGUCGAGUAGUUUGGGAAUGCUGCUCAAAAUGGGAGGUAUAUGUCUUCUAAAGCUAAAUACUGGCCAGAGACCGAUAGCGCACAAGUAGAGUGAUCGAAAGAUGAAAAGCACCUUGAAAAGAGGGUUAAAUAGUACGUGAAAUUGUUGAAAGGGAAGCGCUUGUGACCAGACUUGGGCGCGGCGGAUCAUCCGGGGUUCUCCCCGGUGCACUUCUCCGCGUCCAGGCCAGCAUCAGUUCGUCGCGGGGGAAAAAGGCUUCGGGAACGUGGCUCCCCCGGGAGUGUUAUAGCCCGUUGCACAAUACCCUGCGGUGGACUGAGGACCGCGCAUCUGCAAGGAUGCUGGCGUAAUGGUCACCAGCGACCCGUCUUGAAACACGGACCAAGGAGUCGUCUUCGUAUGCGAGUGUUCGGGUGUCAAACCCCUACGCGUAAUGAAAGUGAACGCAGGUGAGAGCUUCGGCGCAUCAUCGACCGAUCCUGAUGUUCUCGGAUGGAUUUGAGUAAGAGCAUACGGGGCCGGACCCGAAAGAAGGUGAACUAUGCCUGUAUAGGGUGAAGCCAGAGGAAACUCUGGUGGAGGCUCGCAGCGGUUCUGACGUGCAAAUCGAUCGUCAAAUAUGGGCAUGGGGGCGAAAGACUAAUCGAC
This 910-nucleotide ribosomal RNA is filed under the name Trichoderma foliicola. RNAcentral describes it as "eukaryotic LSU rRNA". It matches the Rfam family "Eukaryotic large subunit ribosomal RNA", at positions 1 to 940 of the family's 3401-position model. Lineage: Eukaryota; Fungi; Ascomycota; Sordariomycetes; Hypocreales; Hypocreaceae. The record is from RNAcentral.